GCUGCCCGAAAUCUACCUGACGCGCCUCCUGUCCACCAAAGGAACGCUGCAGAAGUUCUUGGACGACCUCUUUCAGGCCAUCCUCAGCAUCCCCCCGGAACAGCCCCCGCUGGCGGUCAAAUACUUCUUUGACUUCCUGGAGGAGCAGGCCGACAAACGGGGCAUCACCGACCCGGACACCCUCCACAUCUG
Long non-coding RNA from Hippocampus comes (tiger tail seahorse), 192 nucleotides. RefSeq lists it as uncharacterized. The transcript has 2 exons. Lineage: Eukaryota; Metazoa; Chordata; Actinopteri; Syngnathiformes; Syngnathidae. The record is from RefSeq and is a predicted model, not a curated record.